RNAcentral lists this ribosomal RNA (484 nucleotides) under uncultured bacterium. Its description in RNAcentral is "partial 16S ribosomal RNA". It matches the Rfam family "Bacterial small subunit ribosomal RNA", at positions 30 to 507 of the family's 1533-position model. The record is from RNAcentral.
AUUGAACGCUGGCGGCAGGCCUAACACAUGCAAGUCGAGCGGAUGAAGGGAGCUUGCUCCUGGAUCCAGCGGCGGACGGGUGAGUAAUGCCUAGGAAUCUGCCUGGUAGUGGGGGAUAACGUCCGGAAACGGGCGCUAAUACCGCAUACGUCCUGAGGGAGAAAGUGGGGGAUCUUCGGACCUCACGCUAUCAGAUGAGCCUAGGUCGGAUUAGCUAGUUGGUGGGGUAAAGGCCUACCAAGGCGACGAUCCGUAACUGGUCUGAGAGGAUGAUCAGUCACACUGGAACUGAGACACGGUCCAGACUCCUACGGGAGGCAGCAGUCGGGAAUAGUGGACAAUGGGCGAAAGCCUGCUCCAGCCAUGCCGCGUGUGUGAAGAAGGUCUUCGGAUUGUAAAGCACUUUAAGUUGGGAGGAAGGGCAGUAAGUUAAUACCUUGCUGUUUUGACGUUACCAACAGAAUAAGCACCGGCUAACUUCGUG